UACUGUUUCAGUUUGGACAAAGUUUUAUAUAGAGACAACACCUGAUUUAGGUGAAGCACUUACGGACGUAGCAUUGAGGGUUGUUUAUCGUGCCAAAGACUAGUUUACAUUGAGGGUUGUUUAUCGUGCCAAAGACUAGUUUACAUUGAGGGUUGUUUAUCGUGCCAAAGACUAGUUUGCAUUGAGGGUUGUUUAUCGUGCCAAAGACUAGUCUGCAUUGAGGGUUGUUUAUCGUGCCAAAGACUAGUUUGCAUUGAGGGUUGUUUAUCGUGCCAAAGACUAGUUUACAUUGAGGGUUGUUUAUCGUGCCAAAGACUAGUCUGCAUUGAGGGUUGUUUAUCGUGCCAAAGACUAGUUUACAUUGAGGGUUGUUUAUCGUGCCAAAGACUAGUCUGCAUUGAGGGUUGUUUAUCGUGCCAAAGACUAGUUUACAUUGAGGGUUGUUUAUCGUGCCAAAGACUAGUUUGCAUUGAGGGCUGUUUAUCGUGCCAAAGACUAGUUUACAUUGAGGGUUGUUUAUCAUGACCAAGACUAUGCUGGCACGACGUUGUAAAUUUCUGCUCGCUAUUAUCCAGUGUAAAAUUCCAAACAAACUUACAUGUAUGUGAGUGACGUGUGACUUUCACAGAAAUAAACAAAGUCCCAUUGAGCGCUUAGUUAAGGAACAAUCACUACCUAUAUAUUAAACAGUUUAGAUUUGACGCGGUACUGAGAUUUAAAUCAUUUAGUAAAUGUAACCAGUAAACAUUGUAUUGUUAAUUAAAACAAAACAUUAUAAACAUUUAGAGGCUAAAUCAAACGUCUGACAGCCUCGCAUAGUAAUAUUAAAUUAAUUAUCAUUUACUCCCUGUAUCAUAAAUAAAUAAAAUUAAUCACACUGUCCUAAUUCUACCCAAUGGAUAGAUAGAUUGAUUAAUUGAUUGAUUGAUGUUUUCCGCCACACUCAACAAUUUUUCAGUUAUCUGGUGGCGCCCAGUUUUUAUUGGUGGAAGAGAGAACCCAGAUACAAUGUACCUGGGAAGAGACCAUUGACCUUCCGCAAGUAAACUGGGAAACUUUCUCACCGGCGCGAGCGAUUUGAACCCGCACCGACAGAGGUGAGAGGCCGUGUGAUUUUUAGCGCGAUGCUCUAACCACUCGGCCACGGAUGCCCAUCCCAAUGGACAGAAAGAAAGAUAGAUAGAUAGAUAUCAAUUGACGGUUACACAUCCCCAGGUCAAUAUGGUUUACAACAUAAUACUAUACAGGUAAAUUAUUCCCCGCGUAUCGACCCGUAUCCUUCUGAUCACCUGUAGUACCACGGUGGCGGAUCUAGAGGGAGUUAACAAGUGGAAGUUGAAUUUUUGGAACUGAAUAAAUAUCUUAUUAAGAAAUCCCAAGCCAUUUUUUUUUUCAAAUUUAUAACAUGAUAUCGCAGUUAGAUAGGGAUGAAAUAGUCUGUAUCAUUGUGAUAAUCAUAAAACUACAUACUAAUAACUAUUACUGUAAAUUGUGUACAGCAAUCAGGACGGUCUUUUCUGUGUUCUGACAAUAAACUUAACACCUAAUCAGAAUUUUACAGACUUUUCUGUAUUCUGACAAUAAACUUAACACGCUAAUCAGAAUUUUACAGACUUUUCUGUAUUCUGACAAUAAACUUAACACGCUAAUCAGAAUUUUACAGACUUUUCUGUAUACUGACAAUAAACUUUUUACGCUCGGCAGAAUGUUACAGACUUUUCUGUUUUCUGACAAUAAACUUGACACGCUAAGCAGAUUUUUACAGACUUUUUCUGUUCACUGCCAAUAAACUUAACACGCUAAACAGAUUGAUUGAAUAUUGUUUUACGUCCCUCUCGAGAAUAUUGUACUCAUAUGGAGACGUCACCACUGCCGAUGAAGGGCUGCAACAUUUGGGCCUAUGCUCGGCGCUUAUGGUCAUUGAGCAGGGAGGGAUCUUUAUCGUGCGGUCUCAUCGGAAGCGGAAUUUUACAAACUUUUCUGUAUACUGACAAUAAACUUAACACGCUCGGCAGAAUUUUACAGACUUUUCUGAAUACUGACAAUAAACUUAACACGCUUGGCAUAAUUUUGCAGACUUUAGGAGAUUCUCACAUCUAUAAUACUUGUUUUUAUACCGAUUGUUAGGACGUUCUUGGCACGCUGAUUUUGACUACGGAUAACUCCGGGAUAUGGGGCUGACGGCGGGUGUGACCGGUCGACAGGGGAUGCUCACUCCUCCUAGAUUGAGUUGUGUGGAACAAUGAACCUCCGGAUAUAUAUGUACAUUUACACGUGUAGGAUUAAACUUCUGUGGUACUCGCGUAUGUGAGUUUAUCCU
Ostrea edulis (European flat oyster) is the source of this 2320-nucleotide long non-coding RNA. RefSeq lists it as uncharacterized. Lineage: Eukaryota; Metazoa; Mollusca; Bivalvia; Ostreida; Ostreidae. The record is from RefSeq and is a predicted model, not a curated record. The transcript has 2 exons.